GCUACGGGUGGCAGCAGUGGGGAAUAUUGGGCAAUGGGCGCAAGCCUGACCCAGCAAUGCCGCGUGAAGGAAGAAGGCUUUCGGGUUGUAAACUUCUUUGACAGGGGAAGAGCAGAAGACGGUACCCGGAAAACAAGCCACGGCUAACUACGUGCCAGCAGCCGCGGGAAUACGGAGGUGGCAAGCGGUGUCCGGAUUUACUGGGUGUAAAGGGCGGGUAGCCGGGAAGGCAAGUCAGCUGUGAAAUCUGGCGGCUCACCCUCCAAAUUGCAUUUGAAAAUGUUUUUCUUGAGUACUGGAGAGGCAGCCGGAAUUCCUUUUGUAGCCGUGACAUGCGUAGAUAUAAGGAGGAACACCAGUGGCGCAGGCGGUCUGCUGGACAGCAACUGCCGGUGAGGCGCGACAGCGUGGGGAGCAAACAGGAUUAGAUACCCGUGUAGUC
RNAcentral lists this ribosomal RNA (442 nucleotides) under uncultured bacterium. RNAcentral's name for it is "partial 16S ribosomal RNA". It matches the Rfam family "Bacterial small subunit ribosomal RNA", at positions 338 to 795 of the family's 1533-position model. The record is from RNAcentral.